UAGCCUACGGGGCGCAGCAGUGAGGAAUAUUGGUCAAUGGGCGGGAGCCUGAACCAGCCAAGUCGCGUGAGGGAAGACGGUCCUAUGGGUUGUAAACCUCUUUAGGCGGGGAGCAAUGCCGGGCACGCGUGUCCGGAGGGAGAGUACCCGCAGAAUAAGCAUCGGCUAACUCCGUGCCAGCAGCCGCGGUAAUACGUAGGUGGCAAGCGUUAUCCGGAUUUAUUGGGCGUAAAGGGAACGCAGGCGGUCUUUUAAGUCUGAUGUGAAAGCCUUCGGCUUAACCGGAGUCGUGCAUUGGAAACUGG
Molecule: ribosomal RNA, 305 nt
Filed under: uncultured bacterium
Lineage: Bacteria
Description: bacterial SSU rRNA
Rfam family: Bacterial small subunit ribosomal RNA
Source: RNAcentral